UCCCUCAAGCUGGAUUUGAACCAGCAACCUAAGGAUUAACAUUGAUAAAUCUACAGUCCUCCGCUCUGCCAAAAUAGCUAUUGAGGG
RNAcentral lists this transfer RNA (87 nucleotides) under Cordylochernes scorpioides. RNAcentral's name for it is "tRNA-Tyr". The record is from RNAcentral. Lineage: Eukaryota; Metazoa; Arthropoda; Arachnida; Pseudoscorpiones; Chernetidae.